Molecule: ribosomal RNA, 2121 nt
Filed under: Alloyangia pacifica
Lineage: Bacteria; Pseudomonadati; Pseudomonadota; Alphaproteobacteria; Rhodobacterales; Roseobacteraceae
Description: partial 23S ribosomal RNA
Rfam family: Bacterial large subunit ribosomal RNA
Source: RNAcentral
GAUCAAGCGCGAGAAGGGCGUUUGGUGGAUGCCUUGGCAGUAAGAGGCGAUGAAGGACGUGAUACUCUGCGAUAAGUCCUGGGGAGCUGAGAAUAAGCUUUGAUCCAGGAAUUUCCGAAUGGGGCAACCCACCUGAAAGAUGAUUGUUAGCAAUACCGUCAGUUACGAGAGCCUCGCGCUCAAGUAGCGAAGCGGUAGCGCAUAUCAAUCGUCUUAAACAGGUACUUUUAACCUGAACACAUAGGGUUUUAAGAGCAAACCCGGGGAACUGAAACAUCUAAGUACCCGGAGGAAAGGACAUCAAUAGAGACUCCCCUAGUAGCGGCGAGCGAACGGGGACCAGCCGAGUCCUGAGAGUGAACAGAAUGGUCUGGAAAGGCCAACCACAGCGGGUGACAGUCCCGUAUGUGAAGCUCGAUGGAACGUAUUAAGUAGGGCGGGACACGUGAAAUCCUGUCUGAAGAUCGGGGGACCACCCCCGAAGGCUAAGUACUCCUUACUGACCGAUAGCGAACCAGUACCGUGAGGGAAAGGUGAAAAGCACCCCGACGAGGGGAGUGAAACAGUACCUGAAACCGAACGCCUACAAUCAGUCGGAGGCUCCUCGAGAGCUGACGGCGUACCUUUUGUAUAAUGGGUCAUCGACUUGGUCUAUCUAGCAAGCUUAAGCCGUUAGGUGUAGGCGCAGCGAAAGCGAGUCUUAAUAGGGCGAUGAGUUAGAUGGAUCAGACCCGAAACCGAGUGAUCUAGGCAUGACCAGGAUGAAGGUUAGGUAACACUAACUGGAGGUCCGAACCCACACCUGUUGAAAAAGGUCGGGAUGAGUUGUGCCUAGGGGUGAAAGGCCAAUCAAACUCGGAGAUAGCUGGUUCUCCGCGAAAUCUAUUUAGGUAGAGCGUCAUCCGAAUACCCCUGGGGGUAGAGCACUGGAUGGGUAAUGGGGCCCCACAGGCUUACUGAUCCUAACCAAACUCCGAAUACCAGGGAGUACUAGAUGGCAGACACACUGCGGGUGCUAACGCCCGUAGUGGAGAGGGAAACAACCCUGACCUCCGGCUAAGGCCCCCAAUUCAUGGCUAAGUGGGAAAGCAGGUGGGACGACCAAAACAACCAGGAGGUUGGCUUAGAAGCAGCCAUCCUUUAAAGAUAGCGUAACAGCUCACUGGUCUAAUUAAGUUGUCCUGCGGCGAAGAUGUAACGGGGCUCAAGCCAUGAGCCGAAGCCGAGGAUGCGCAUAGCGCAUGGUAGCGGAGCGUAGUGUGACAUAGGACUACUCCUCUUCUGCAUCCUUCGGGAUGUAAUGGAGGAGCAAGUCCUUUCUGUGAAGCCGGGCUGUAAGGCAUCCGGUGGAGAGAUCACUAGCGAGAAUGAUGACAUGAGUAGCGACAAAGAGUGUGAGAGACACUCUCGCCGAAAGUCCAAGGGUUCCUGCUUAAAGCUAAUCUGAGCAGGGUAAGCCGGCCCCUAAGGCGAGGCCGAAAGGCGUAGUCGAUGGGAACCAGGUCAAUAUUCCUGGGCCAUGUGGUGGUGACGGAUUGCAGAGGUCGUUCUUCCUUAUCGGAUUGGAAGGGCGGCUGAGCGGUUCCUGGAAAUAGCCCCACUUUGAGACCGUACCCUAAACCGACACAGGUGGACUGGUAGAGAAUACCAAGGCGCUUGAGAGAACGAUGUUGAAGGAACUCGGCAAAAUACCUCCGUAAGUUCGCGAGAAGGAGGCCCAGUUUCAACGCAAGUUUUGGCUGGGGGCACAAACCAGGGGGUGGCGACUGUUUACUAAAAACACAGGGCUCUGCGAAGUCGCAAGACGACGUAUAGGGUCUGACGCCUGCCCGGUGCCUGAAGGUUAAAAGGAGGGGUGAGAGCUCUGAAUUGAAGCCCAGGUAAACGGCGGCCGUAACUAUAACGGUCCUAAGGUAGCGAAAUUCCUUGUCGGGUAAGUUCCGACCUGCACGAAUGGCGUAACGACUUCCCCGCUGUCUCCAACAUCGACUCAGCGAAAUUGAAUUGCCUGUCAAGAUGCAGGCUUCCCGCGGUUAGACGGAAAGACCCCGUGCACCUUUACUACAGCUUCACACUGGCAUCAGGCCAUGCAUGUGCAGGAUAGGUGGUAGGCUUCGAAGC